Molecule: long non-coding RNA, 884 nt
Organism: Cyprinus carpio carpio
Lineage: Eukaryota; Metazoa; Chordata; Actinopteri; Cypriniformes; Cyprinidae
Source: Ensembl
CCGUAUUCUACUGCAUAAACUUCAAACGUCAAAUCUCUUUUCAAACUGCAUCAUAUUCAAAUCACUCAAGGCAAAUCUUCCAGUUCAAGUCGACUUUGUCAGGCCAGCGUUCAGAGAUGCCUGGCUGAUGUUUGUCCUUUCAUCAGUGAUUUGUCUGUAAAUCUUUGAGCUUUGGAAUGCCGUUGAUCUGCUCCCAUAUUGAACUCAGCGUGAGUUUCUGCUCAGCCUUGCUUCAGGGAUUGUGUUUGCCAGCGAGGGAAUUUAUUUUGGCAGCUAUAAGCUGUUUUUUUCCAUGCAAAGGAGACUUCAGUGACCUUAUCUCCACGGGAGGUACCUAUGAUGAAAACUAACAGCUCACCAGCGAUGGGACGGCAUUGAGCUGCUUGGAAGCAAAUCCUCUCGAUAUGAUGAACAGCUUUAGUUUAGUCUGUCUCCUUCUGUGCACGGGAGUGGCUUCCUUCAGAUUUGAGGAGUUGACACAAUAUGUGAACAGCCAUGAAGAGGAAUUUAUCGAGGAUCCACAGCACUAGCACGUUGAGCAUCAGCGUCACAGUCACCUGUGUCUCGUAGUGUUUGCCGUGGAGCCGGAUCUGAUCCGUGAGCGACGUCACAGAUACAGCUACAUGGAGCGAACCAAGCUGUUCAACGCCUUCCUGCAAGAAGUGUCUCAGAUCGAGAAGCACUCAUAUAAACACAUCUCUUCAUUACUAAUGCCAACAAAACCAAUUAAACAAGAGUUUUGCAUGUUUUUAUCAGUGUGAGUGAAAUAUGAACAAACCUCCAGAAUAUAGAGAGGCAUUCUGUUGUACUGUAUGUAAGAGAAAAAACUCUUUCAAUACAUGUAUUGUAAUUGAAAUCUACAGAUGCAAAUAGAUAAAGUGCAA